UACGAAGGGGGCUAGCGUUGUUCGGAUUUACUGGGCGUAAAGCGCACGUAGGCGGACUUUUAAGUCAGGGGUGAAAUCCCGGGGCUCAACCCCGGAACUGCCUUUGAUACUGGAAGUCUUGAGUAUGGUAGAGGUGAGUGGAAUUCCGAGUGUAGAGGUGAAAUUCGUAGAUAUUCGGAAGAACACCAGUGGCGAAGGCGACUCGCUGGACAGGUAUUGACGCUGAGGUGCGAAAGCGUGGGGAGCAAACAGGAUUAGAUACCCCUGUAGUCC
This 273-nucleotide ribosomal RNA is filed under the name uncultured Brucellaceae bacterium. RNAcentral describes it as "partial 16S ribosomal RNA". It matches the Rfam family "Bacterial small subunit ribosomal RNA", at positions 524 to 796 of the family's 1533-position model. The record is from RNAcentral. Lineage: Bacteria; Pseudomonadati; Pseudomonadota; Alphaproteobacteria; Hyphomicrobiales; Brucellaceae.